GUCUAUGGCCAUACCACCCUGAACAUGCCAGAUCUCAUCUGAUUUUGGAAGCUAAGCAGGGUUGGGCCUGGUUAGUACUUGGAUGGGAGAGAUGUUUUAGGUGCUAUGUAUU
Molecule: ribosomal RNA, 112 nt
Filed under: Castor canadensis (American beaver)
Lineage: Eukaryota; Metazoa; Chordata; Mammalia; Rodentia; Castoridae
Source: RNAcentral